UACGAAGGGGGCUAGCGUUGCUCGGAAUUACUGGGCGUAAAGGGCGCGUAGGCGGACAGUUUAGUCAGAGGUGAAAGCCCAGGGCUCAACCUUGGAAUUGCCUUUGAUACUGACUGUCUUGAGUUCGGGAGAGGUGAGUGGAAUGCCGAGUGUAGAGGUGAAAUUCGUAGAUAUUCGGCGGAACACCAGUGGCGAAGGCGACUCACUGGCCCGAUACUGACGCUGAGGCGCGAAAGCUAGGGGAGCAAACGGG
RNAcentral lists this ribosomal RNA (253 nucleotides) under uncultured bacterium. RNAcentral's name for it is "partial 16S ribosomal RNA". It matches the Rfam family "Bacterial small subunit ribosomal RNA", at positions 524 to 776 of the family's 1533-position model. The record is from RNAcentral.